RNAcentral lists this ribosomal RNA (492 nucleotides) under uncultured bacterium. RNAcentral's name for it is "partial 16S ribosomal RNA". It matches the Rfam family "Bacterial small subunit ribosomal RNA", at positions 29 to 507 of the family's 1533-position model. The record is from RNAcentral.
AGUGAACGCUGGCGGUAGGCCUAACACAUGCAAGUCGAACGGCAGCACAGUAAGAGCUUGCUCUUACGGGUGGCGAGUGGCGGACGGGUGAGGAAUACAUCGUAAUCUACUUUUUCGUGGGGGAUAACGUAGGGAAACUUACGCUAAUACCGCAUACGACCUACGGGUGAAAGCAGGGGAUAUUCGGACCUUGCGCGAUUGAAUGAGCCGAUGUCGGAUUAGCUAGUUGGCGGGGUAAAGGCCCACCAAGGCGACGAUCCGUAGCUGGUCUGAGAGGAUGAUCGGCCACACGGGAACUGAGACACGGUCCAGACUCCUACGGGAGGCAGCAGUGGGGAAUAUUGGACAAUGGGCGCAAGCCUGAUCCAGCCAUACCGCGUGGGUGAAGAAGGCCUUCGGGUUGUAAAGCCCUUUUGUUGGGAAAGAAAAGCAGCAGGUUAAUACCCCGCUGUUCUGACGGUACCCAAAGAAUAAGCACCGGCUAACUUCGUG